UGGGGAAUUUUGGACAAUGGACGCAAGUCUGAUCCAGCCAUGCCGCGUGCGGGAAGAAGGCCUUCGGGUUGUAAACCGCUUUUGUCAGGGAAGAAACGAUACUCUCUAAUACAGAGACUUAAUGACGGUACCUGAAGAAUAAGCACCGGCUAACUACGUGCCAGCAGCCGCGGUAAUACGGAGGGUGCAAGCGUUAAUCGGAAUUACUGGGCGUAAAGCGCGCGCAGGCGGUUAUGUAAGACAGAUGUGAAAUCCCCGGGCUCAACCUGGGAACUGCCUUUGUGACUGCAUAGCUAGAGUACGGUAGACGGGGAUAGAAUUCCACGUGUAGCAGUGAAAUGCGUAGAGAUGUGGAGGAACACCGAUGGCGAAGGCAGUCCCCUGGACCUGUACUGACGCUCAUGCACGAAAGCGUGGGGAGCAAACA
Molecule: ribosomal RNA, 427 nt
Filed under: uncultured bacterium
Lineage: Bacteria
Description: bacterial SSU rRNA
Rfam family: Bacterial small subunit ribosomal RNA
Source: RNAcentral